AGUUUUCGCAGUGUCGGCCGAGAUUAAAUCAUCUGAUCUAGAUUCUGAUUGCAAGCUCAUCUGAAUAUUAUCUUGUUAAAAACAAUGAGAAAAUCGGAUACACAUGGCAGGUAUGACAUCGCAACUAUGACAUUUGAUUAAUCCUCACAUCGCAUUCGCUGUAUUCAUCGAUCGAUUUCCCCGAAUCGGAGUUUUCGAAAAGGCGUAAAAAGCAUUGGCAGACACUCAGCUUUAUCUGCAUUAAAUUCGCACUCUUUAUUUUUGCGCAACCCAACCUCAACUUGACUUUCUUUGUUCGUUCGUAACCGUAACUGAUGGGCGCAGGUAUCAGGUGCUCAUAACAAACCAGGCGAUUCGCAUAAAUGUCAGAGUCAUCGACCAACGUUUCGAACACAAUCUCCACCAAAAGACAUAGUAAGAUGAGUCUUUAAAAACAUCAAGCUCCCGAUCCUAUCAAAAAAUUUAAAAUAGCUUCAACUAGCUUCAAACGCUUAGGUAAAUGACCGUCUUCUGACGAGCCGCGCAAGUCGAACACACUCGCGGCAAAACUCGCGAGUCGUGGUUAAUCCAAAUUCCAAAGAUAAGGUCAUCUCGCGAGCAGUCGAGGAACUAGCAGCGAGUUCGUAUCAUUAUUUUCGUCGCCAUCACAGCGACGAGAUCGCGAUUUUCUCCUGCGUGGUGGUCAUCCGCGCGCUCCAUUAAUUUCAUCCUUUCGUCGAGUCCUCGGCGACCGGAGGAGGCUCUCUCUUGGACAGAGCCUGCCGAACCCUCCCCCAGGUGAUAAUAUCAGCGAGUCGCUGAGUCCACAAGAAAAGCUGUGCAACCGCAGCUCUCGACAACGUUCUUCGACGCAACCUUGCGCGCCUGCCUGUGUCUGCGUGUGUGCGUAAGACAGCUCUCAUAUUUCUACUAUACCUAUUACUUGUACUAGCUCGCACUCGAUAUCAGAGCCUGCAAACAGCGAAUAUUCGCGAGUGUCUACUUAGCCACGCAGAGGCAGCUCCAACUCGGCGCUCCUUCUGUCCUCGUGUUCGUCGCGCGGCCGCGAUAUACACAGAGCAGCCGACAAAUCGAAGGUCUUUUGCUUCGAAACUUUUUGGCACUGUCGAUGAACAUGGCUUAUUGAAGAAGAUGAAGGGUCUGCAGCAAGUUUACGUUUCUCCAUACGGAGGGGACCACCUCGUCGACUUUGACUACUGCGGUUGCUCCGGCGCCGCCGCUGUUACCGCGCGCCUCGUUGCUGCUUCCAUUGCAGCUGAUAUUUUAGCCAGUGAAAACGGCCGAGGAAUCAGACAAGAAUAUUUUAGUGUUAAUAAUGGAAAAGAAAGCCAAGUAUCAGCAGCCCAACCAAGCCAAGGGCUCUGCUACUGAUGCGAAGAAGAAUCAAGAUGUCACUAGUUCUAAAAGCUUUCCAAAAUCAUCGCGAAGGCGUGAACCAUCUGGUGCAAAUGGUUUCCCCAAAAAUGAUCAGCCUAGAAAGUCCAAUGCACAGAAAAUUAAAAACUUUGAUAAGAGACCAAAACCUAAAGGACAUUAUCAUGGCGGUUCAAAGGAGGAUUCCAAGGUAGUGGAAGAUGAAUCAGCUGAGCUUGGCUCAGUAAUGGUCCAAGGAAGUAAAAAGCAGAACUUGAAUCAUCUGCUAAAUUUUCAUUACGCUCCGCGUGAUGUACAAGGUGGAUGGAGCCAUGGAAGGGCAAGUGGCUACAAUAGUCACCAUUACAAUCGCUGGCUUCCAGCUGUUCAGCGACACAAGUAUAAUAAAGAACAAUUUUUACAAGCAAACUGCCAAUUUGUUGUUACUGCCAAGGGAGAUUAUUCUCUUUAUUUAAAUGAUCCUGACAUCUUGGUUGACUGGAAAUUGAUACAGCAAAUUCGAGUUCAUAGUUCCGACAAUCUAUCUUGUCCCAUUUGUUUGUGCCCUCCUGUUGCUGGAAAAAUGACACGAUGUGGUCAUGUUUAUUGCUGGCCAUGUAUUCUUCAUUAUUUAGCACUCAGUGAUAAAAGCUGGCGCAAGUGUCCAAUUUGUUAUGAAUCUAUACAUAAAUCUGAUUUAAAAAGUGUUGUUGAAAUUACUGAAAAUGCUUUAAAUAUUGGCGAUAAUAUUUCUCUUCGGCUGAUGCGUCGAGAGAAAGGAACAUUAAUUGCAGUGCCAGUUAAUGAUAUUGAAUCUGCCCCUCCAUCAACAUUUUUAUCUGUUUCCGAAAAUUCUUGCCAACAAGUAUAUUCAAAGUUACUUUUAGCUCAGAAUGCCGACAUUAUGGAUAUUAUAGAAUCUGAACGGGUUCAAUUAAAACUCGAAUUACUGGAAGAUCCUCAUUCACCAGAAAAUUGUUUUAUAGAACAAGCUCUCAGUGAAUUAUUGAUUAGAGAACAGCUUAUAAUAGAUGGAACUCCAUCAAUAGAAACCGAAGAACUACAAACUUCUCAAAAUGACGAAAACAUCGAAUCACAGAAUCGUGAAGACGUUUCAUCUAUAAAUAACAAUGUUAACACGAAAAUCAAAGAAAGUCUCCAAUUACUGGAUAACGAUAUUUGCAGUACAAACGAUCAGUCGUAUAAUGAUUUAAAUCUAAGUAAUAGUGACGCAGAUAUUUCAACAAAUUCACAGAAAUUUUAUUAUUAUUAUCAAGCUGAUGGAGGGCAAAACGUCUAUCUUCAUGCAAUGAACGUAAAAAUGUUAGAGAUGCAAUACGGCAGCUUAGAAAGGAGUCCUCGUGUGAUCUCUGGUAAAUUAAUAGAGAAAGAAGUCGGCAGCUUUACUGAAGAUUUAAGACGUCGUAUGAGAUAUCUCUGUCACUUACCAGUCACUAGCCAAUUCGAAAUCGCAGAAAUAGAUCUUCUUCCACCACUUAUCUCAAAAGAAGUUUUGUCAUCUUUUGAAGAUCAAAUCGCUUCCCGUCAAAGAAAAAGAAAUCGUCGUGAAAGAGAGGAACGAAAACGCGAAAAGAAAAUAACAGAAGAAGAGAAUAAACGCAUGGGAAAAUAUCCAACGCCAAAAGUUCAUAUUGAAUCGCGCAAACAUUUUCCCCAGUUUCAACCUGAAUUUGCUGAAUUUAAUGUACCAUCACCUCCGGAGUCCGUUGUCGCUUCAAGUGUGGCAAGUAGCCCAACAGCCAGUUCCUUUGACGACUUUUUAUCAGCAGCAGGAGCUGACAUCAAUAAUUGGGCAGCAUCAGCUAAUCAUGGUCCAUCUUUUGCUCAAAUGCUACAAACUAAUGGAUCAAGAACUGUUGCAUGGCCAUCAUUGAGCACCUCUAAAAGAGCGGAACCUAAUAAUCCACCUGCUGCAAGGAUCCAACAGCAUGAGAAUAUUGAUCCAGAAAUGGAAGAGUACCUUGCACCUUCUUACAGUCAAAGUUUAGGGGAUGCUUUAGCACAAGUUUUGGAGAAAACGGAAUUACUGAAUCAAGAAGGCAGGUCGACUGAUAAUUUAACAACUAGUAGCAAGAAAAAGAAGAAAAAAAAUAAAGCGACUGUUUUAUUUGCAACUAAUAUGGCUCGAGCGUCUUAGUUUCGGUAUAAAAAUUGUUUGAAUUAUUGAUUCUGUUUCUGCUUUUUACUUAUUAGAAAGGGUAUCUUCGCUACCUAUAUUAUUAAAAAUAAUAUAAAACAUAUUGAAUGGACGCCAACUAUGUUGAAUUAUAAUUGUUACGCGAUUGAUAUUCAUAGGCUACUAUUUAUGUACAUUUAUUCAAAUUAUUUUUGUUAACUAAAUUUUAGUUGCUAAGUGGCAAAUAAAGAUGGAUAAUGAGCAAGACAAAAAUUGUAAGUGAAAUUGCAUAUUUUAAAUUUCGAUAGUUUUAAAAUGUUAAAUUAUGCAAGGCAAGACAAUAAAAAGACAAGUAUAAGUUUUAACGGAGUUGUGUAUUUUUUUUUUUUUUAAUGCAAUAAAAAGUUGAACUUUGACAAAUCUUAAAACGUUACUUGUACUAUUACAUGUUUACGUGUCACUAGAAAAAAGAAUGAACAAAAAUAAAAAUAUAGAAC
This is an RNA transcript of Nasonia vitripennis (jewel wasp), 3987 nucleotides long. It is a transcript of the gene named RING finger protein 10, with no coding region annotated. Lineage: Eukaryota; Metazoa; Arthropoda; Insecta; Hymenoptera; Pteromalidae. The transcript has 12 exons. The record is from RefSeq and is a predicted model, not a curated record.